RNAcentral lists this ribosomal RNA (253 nucleotides) under uncultured bacterium. RNAcentral's name for it is "partial 16S ribosomal RNA". It matches the Rfam family "Bacterial small subunit ribosomal RNA", at positions 524 to 776 of the family's 1533-position model. The record is from RNAcentral.
UACGAAGGGGGCUAGCGUUGCUCGGAAUCACUGGGCGUAAAGCGCACGUAGGCGGAUUGCUAAGUCAGGGGUGAAAUCCUGGAGCUCAACUCCAGAACUGCCUUUGAUACUGGCGAUCUUGAGUCCGGAAGAGGUGAGUGGAACUCCGAGUGUAGAGGUGAAAUUCGUAGAUAUUCGGAAGAACACCAGUGGCGAAGGCGGCUCACUGGUCCGGUACUGACGCUGAGGAGCGAAAGCGUGGGGAGCGAACAGG